This 19-nucleotide unclassified non-coding RNA is filed under the name Chlamydomonas reinhardtii. RNAcentral describes it as "small RNA Cre_0656". The record is from RNAcentral. Lineage: Eukaryota; Viridiplantae; Chlorophyta; Chlorophyceae; Chlamydomonadales; Chlamydomonadaceae.
AUAAGUUGAAGGAAUUCCG